GAUGAACGCUGGCGGCGUGCUUAACACAUGCAAGUCGAACGGUGAACACGGAGCUUGCUCUGUGGGAUCAGUGGCGAACGGGUGAGUAACACGUGAGCAACCUGCCCCUGACUCUGGGAUAAGCGCUGGAAACGGCGUCUAAUACUGGAUAUGUGACGUGACCGCAUGGUCUGCGUUUGGAAAGAUUUUUCGGUUGGGGAUGGGCUCGCGGCCUAUCAGCUUGUUGGUGAGGUAAUGGCUCACCAAGGCGUCGACGGGUAGCCGGCCUGAGAGGGUGACCGGCCACACUGGGACUGAGACACGGCCCAGACUCCUACGGGAGGCAGCAGUGGGGAAUAUUGCACAAUGGGCGCAAGCCUGAUGCAGCAACACCGCGUGAGGGAUGACGGCCUUCGGGUUGUAAACCUCUUUUAGCAGGGAAGAAGCGAAAGUGACGGUACCUGCAGAAAAAGCGCCGGCUAACUACGUG
This 469-nucleotide ribosomal RNA is filed under the name uncultured bacterium. RNAcentral's name for it is "partial 16S ribosomal RNA". It matches the Rfam family "Bacterial small subunit ribosomal RNA", at positions 28 to 507 of the family's 1533-position model. The record is from RNAcentral.